UUACGGCCAUAUCACGUUGAAACACCGGUUCUGGUAUGAUUACAGAAGUUAAACAAUGUCGUGCCUAGUCAGUACCUAGAUGAGUAACCGUUUAGGAAUACCAGGUGCUGUAAGC
Molecule: non-coding RNA, 115 nt
Organism: Acanthosepion pharaonis
Lineage: Eukaryota; Metazoa; Mollusca; Cephalopoda; Sepiida; Sepiidae
Source: the annotation of a GenBank genome assembly